CGUAAGCCCAUGCCGGUCGAAGAUACCAGGCCGCUGCGACUGUUUAUUAAAAACACAGCACUCUGCAAACACGAAAGUGGACGUAUAGGGUGUGACGCCUGCCCGGUGCCGGAAGGUUAAUUGAUGGGGUUAGCGCAAGCGAAGCUCUUGAUCGAAGCCCCGGUAAACGGCGGCCGUAACUAUAACGGUCCUAAGGUAGCGAAAUUCCUUGUCGGGUAAGUUCCGACCUGCACGAAUGGCGUAACGAUGGCGGCGCUGUCUCCACCCGAGACUCAGUGAAAUUGAAAUCGCUGUGAAGAUGCAGUGUAUCCGCGGCUAGACGGAAAGACCCCGUGAACCUUUACUAUAGCUUUGCACUGGACUUUGAGCUUGCUUGUGUAGGAUAGGUGGGAGGCUUUGAAGUGGGGACGCCAGUUCUCAUGGAGCCAUCCUUGAAAUACCACCCUGGCAACCUUGAGGUUCUAACUCUGGUCCGUUAUCCGGAUCGAGGACAGUGUAUGGUGGGUAGUUUGACUGGGGCGGUCUCCUCCCAAAGAGUAACGGAGGAGUACGAAGGUGCGCUCAGACCGGUCGGAAAUCGGUCGUAGAGUAUAAAGGCAAAAGCGCGCUUGACUGCGAGACAGACACGUCGAGCAGGUACGAAAGUAGGUCUUAGUGAUCCGGUGGUUCUGUAUGGAAGGGCCAUCGCUCAACGGAUAAAAGGUACUCCGGGGAUAACAGGCUGAUACCGCCCAAGAGUUCAUAUCGACGGCGGUGUUUGGCACCUCGAUGUCGGCUCAUCACAUCCUGGGGCUGAAGCCGGUCCCAAGGGUAUGGCUGUUCGCCAUUUAAAGUGGUACGCGAGCUGGGUUUAGAACGUCGUGAGACAGUUCGGUCCCUAUCUGCCGUGGACGUUUGAGAUUUGAGAGGGGCUGACCUUAGUACGAGAGGACCGGGUUGGACGAACCUCUGGUGUUCCGGUUGUCACGCCAGUGGCAUUGCCGGGUAGCUAUGUUCGGAAAAGAUAACCGCUGAAAGCAUCUAAGCGGGAAACUUGCCUCAAGAUGAGAUCUCACUGGAGCCUUGAGCUCCCUGAAGGGCCGUCGAAGACUACGACGUUGAUAGGUGGGGUGUGUAAGCGCUGUGAGGCGUUGAGCUAACCCAUACUAAUUGCCCGUGAGGCUUGACCAU
Molecule: ribosomal RNA, 1170 nt
Filed under: Ectopseudomonas oleovorans
Lineage: Bacteria; Pseudomonadati; Pseudomonadota; Gammaproteobacteria; Pseudomonadales; Pseudomonadaceae
Description: Pseudomonas oleovorans partial 23S ribosomal RNA
Rfam family: Bacterial large subunit ribosomal RNA
Source: RNAcentral